CUGCGGUCCGCCGCAGGGCCAGAGGGUAAAAGGGAAACAGGUGUGAAUCCUGUACGAUCUCGUCACUGUGAUUGGGGAGUGCAAGGCAACGUGCCGCGGCACAGUCACUGACCUGCGGGUUGGGAAGACUGCUUUGCGUGAUGAUCCAUCAGCCAGGAAACCUGCCGCCUGU
This 172-nucleotide non-coding RNA is filed under the name human gut metagenome. The record is from RNAcentral.